Molecule: ribosomal RNA, 238 nt
Filed under: uncultured Rhodobacterales bacterium
Lineage: Bacteria; Pseudomonadati; Pseudomonadota; Alphaproteobacteria; Rhodobacterales
Description: partial 16S ribosomal RNA
Rfam family: Bacterial small subunit ribosomal RNA
Source: RNAcentral
GUGCCAGCAGCCGCGGUAAUACGGAGGGGGCUAGCGUUGUUCGGAAUUACUGGGCGUAAAGCGCACGUAGGCGGAUCAGAAAGUUGGGGGUGAAAUCACCGGGGCUCAACCUCGGAACUGCCUUCAAAACUAUUGGUCUUGAGCUCGAGAGAGGUGAGUUGAAUUCCGAGUGUAGAGGUGAAAUUCGUAGAUAUUCGGAGGAACACCAGUGGCGAAGGCGGCUCACUGGCUCGAUACU